This 819-nucleotide ribosomal RNA is filed under the name uncultured Alphaproteobacteria bacterium. RNAcentral describes it as "bacterial SSU rRNA". It matches the Rfam family "Bacterial small subunit ribosomal RNA", at positions 81 to 940 of the family's 1533-position model. Lineage: Bacteria; Pseudomonadati; Pseudomonadota; Alphaproteobacteria. The record is from RNAcentral.
CAGUCGAACGCUAUCGCAAGAUAGAGUGGCAACACGUGGGAAUCUGCCCUUCUCUGCGGGACAACAGUUGGCAACGACUGCUAAUACCGCAUACGCCCUUCGGGGGAAAGGUCCGCCGGAGAAGGAGGAGCCCGCGUCUGAUUAGCUUGUUGGUGGGGUAAAGGCCUACCAAGGCGACGAUCAGUAGCUGGUCUGAGAGGAUGAUCAGCCACACUGGGACUGAGACACGGCCCAGACUCCUACGGGAGGCAGCAGUGGGGAAUAUUGGACAAUGGAGGCAACUCUGAUCCAGCAAUGCCGCGUGUGUGAUGAAGGCCCUAGGGUUGUAAAGCACUUUCAUUGGUGAAGAUGAUGACGGUAACCAAAGAAGAAGCCCCGGCUAACUUCGUGCCAGCAGCCGCGGUAAUACGAAGGGGGCGAGCGUUGUUCGGAAUUACUGGGCGUAAAGGGAGCGCAGGCGGUUCAUUUAGUUAGGCGUGAAAGCCCCGGGCUCAACCUGGGAACUGCGCUUAAUACUGAUGAGCUAGAAAACAGAAGAGGAUAGUGGAAUUCCCAGUGUAGAGGUGAAAUUCGUAGAUAUUGGGAAGAACACCGGUGGCGAAAGCGGCUAUCUGGUCUGAUUUUGACGCUGAGGCUCGAAAGCGUGGGGAGCAAACAGGAUUAGAUACCCUGGUAGUCCACGCCGUAAACGAUGAUAACUAGAUGUCGGGGGGUCGCCCCUCGGUGUCGCAGCUAACGCAUUAAGUUAUCCGCCUGGGAAGUACGGUCGCAAGAUUAAACUCAAAGGAAUUGACGGGGGCCCGCACAAGCGGUGAGCAU